CUGGAAGGGCGGAGGAUCGCUUUCGUUUUAAUACGAGAGAGGAAAGUCCGAACACCAUAGGACGCGAUGCCGUGUAACCCUGAUUUAGUUGGGGAUACAUGCGGGCAGUUCAUUCGAGAGGAUGGCUGACGGAAAGUGCCACAGAGAAUAUACCGCCACAGGUUCGCCUGCGGUAAGGGUGAAAAGGUGGGGUAAGAGCCCACCGCGCCAAACGUGAGUGAGGCGGCACGGUAAACCCCAUCGGGUGCAAGGCCAAAUAGGGGGCCAGGGACGGUCCGUCCUGCGAUCGGAAACGGUCACGGCUCCGGGUAGGGUCGCAAUAGAUAAAUGAUCCUCUCCACCGCUCGCGGUGAAGACAAAAUUCGGCUUACAGCCCUUCCAGGAUU
Molecule: RNase P RNA, 386 nt
Filed under: Verrucomicrobiales bacterium
Lineage: Bacteria; Pseudomonadati; Verrucomicrobiota; Verrucomicrobiia; Verrucomicrobiales
Description: RNase P RNA component class A
Rfam family: Bacterial RNase P class A
About the family: Ribonuclease P (RNase P) is a ubiquitous endoribonuclease, found in archaea, bacteria and eukarya as well as chloroplasts and mitochondria. Its best characterised activity is the generation of mature 5'-ends of tRNAs by cleaving the 5'-leader elements of precursor-tRNAs.
Source: RNAcentral